This 206-nucleotide long non-coding RNA is filed under the name Lathyrus oleraceus (garden pea). RNAcentral describes it as "Pisum sativum (pea) long non-coding RNA (PSAT_LNC039750)". The record is from RNAcentral. Lineage: Eukaryota; Viridiplantae; Streptophyta; Magnoliopsida; Fabales; Fabaceae.
UUCCUCACCACUUCCAAUGUGUUCUCUUCUACCUCUCCUUAAACAUGAAAAGAAAUCACACAAACCUUUUCAAAAAUAGAUCUAGUGAUUAAGGACCAUGAUGAACACAUAAACAUUCUUCUUUGUCAUUUGAAAUGAGAGAAUCAUGAUGAACACCAUUCAUCAAUUUUUUUCAGAAAAAAUUUAAAUUCAUCUUUAAUCCCUAA